RNAcentral lists this ribosomal RNA (253 nucleotides) under uncultured bacterium. RNAcentral describes it as "partial 16S ribosomal RNA". It matches the Rfam family "Bacterial small subunit ribosomal RNA", at positions 524 to 776 of the family's 1533-position model. The record is from RNAcentral.
UACGAAGGGGGCUAGCGUUGCUCGGAAUCACUGGGCGUAAAGCGCACGUAGGCGGCUUUUUAAGUCAGGGGUGAAAUCCUGGAGCUCAACUCCAGAACUGCCUUUGAUACUGAGAAGCUUGAGUCCGGGAGAGGUGAGUGGAACUGCGAGUGUAGAGGUGAAAUUCGUAGAUAUUCGCAAGAACACCAGUGGCGAAGGCGGCUCACUGGCCCGGUACUGACGCUGAGGUGCGAAAGCCAGGGGAGCGAACGGG